GUGGGGAAUAUUGCUCAAUGGAGGGAACUCUGAAGCAGCGACGCCGCGUGAAGGAAGAAGGUUUUCGGAUUGUAAACUUCUUUGACCAGGGACGAGUAAGGACGGUACCUGGAAAACAAGCCACGGCUAACUACGUGCCAGCAGCCGCGGUAAUACGUAGGUGGCGAGCGUUGUCCGGAAUUACUGGGUGUAAAGGGCGUGUAGGCGGUUAUCCAAGUCAGAUGUGAAAGCCCGCGGCUCAACUGCGGGACUGCAACUGAAACUGGGUGACUUGAGUGCUGGAGAGGGAAGCGGAAUUCCCAGUGUAGCGGUGAAAUGCGUAGAUAUUGGGAGGAACACCAGUGGCGAAGGCGGCUUUCUGGACAGCAACUGACGCUGAGGCGCGAAAGCGUGGGGAGCAAACAGGAUUAGAUACCCUAGUAGUCC
Molecule: ribosomal RNA, 426 nt
Filed under: uncultured bacterium
Lineage: Bacteria
Description: bacterial SSU rRNA
Rfam family: Bacterial small subunit ribosomal RNA
Source: RNAcentral